GUAGGUGGCAAGCGUUGUCCGGAAUUAUUGGGCGUAAAGCGCGCGCAGGCGGUUCUUUAAGUCUGAUGUGAAAGCCCACGGCUCAACCGUGGAGGGUCAUUGGAAACUGGAGAACUUGAGUACAGAAGAGGAAAGCGGAAUUCCACGUGUAGCGGUGAAAUGCGUAGAGAUGUGGAGGAACACCAGUGGCGAAGGCGGCUUUCUGGUCUGUAACUGACGCUGAGGCGCGAAAGCGUGGGGAGCAAACAGGAUUAGAUACCCUGGUAGUCCACGCCGUAAACGAUGAGUGCUAAGUGUUAGGGGGUUUUCCGCCCCCCUUAGUGCUACAGCUAACGCAUUAAGCACUCCGCCUGGGGAGUACGGCCGCAAGGCUG
RNAcentral lists this ribosomal RNA (374 nucleotides) under uncultured organism. RNAcentral describes it as "partial 16S ribosomal RNA". It matches the Rfam family "Bacterial small subunit ribosomal RNA", at positions 527 to 896 of the family's 1533-position model. The record is from RNAcentral.